This is a long non-coding RNA of Myxocyprinus asiaticus (Chinese sucker), 1860 nucleotides long. RefSeq lists it as uncharacterized. Lineage: Eukaryota; Metazoa; Chordata; Actinopteri; Cypriniformes; Catostomidae. The transcript is spliced from 3 exons. The record is from RefSeq and is a predicted model, not a curated record.
UGGAGAAUGUAGCAACUAGCAAAACUUCAUUGAAGACAGCACCUUACAAAUGUGAUAUGAAUGCUUUACCAUCACCCCACGCUGUGUGAAUAAGUUGUUGAGAUACAAGUGUUGAACUGAGGUUGGCUAACAUGCUAAAUCAGAGACUAUUUAGCAGAGACGGACCACUUCUAUUAAUAUGAAUGGGAGAAACUGGAACGUCCAAUGGUCAACGGAUGUAGAAAGGAAAUUCCGCCCUACAGGUUUUGGAUGUAAGCAGCAAGAAGAAUAGAAAGAAGAAAGAAAGAAACAAAGAAAGGAAGGAAGAAAGAAAAAGGACAUGGAUGACACAUACUUCUGGCCAUGCUGAGUGCCGCAUCAAGGCUACUAUGGGAGCCAGUGAAGGUUUGCAGAACUAUCUCCUAUGCUUUCACCGCAGUCUAGGACAAAAGCCAUGAUUGACUUAUGCAACAAUAGAGCAAGUAGGAACACAUUUUGUGAAGUUGCACCAAAAUGUGUGAAUCACACUGCUGUUAUUGUGCAUAACUAUAAUUGCACCAUAAAAAUAUUCAUGUGUGGGUAAAAACAAAGCAGACUGCAUCAACGCUUCAACAAAGUCCUGAAGGAUUCAAUCCACAACAGAUAACAACACAACAGAACAAAGAUCAUAUAGUGCACAUUUGUGGGUGCAUGGACAAAUUCUGCUCUGAGUUGGAAGUGUGAAAUUAUUCAUGUCUGGACACCAGUUAAGCAAAACGGAACUGCAGUAAAGGUCUGGGCGUCUGACUAAAAAGAAAGAUGAGCCUGAUACACCAACAUUUAAUGUGCCAACAGCAGCAGUGCAAUUUAUUAUUCUCUCUGAACGUAAAAUAGCUUUUGUGUUAGUUUUGUGUUUAGCAUUGUCUUUAAUAUGGAUAAAGAUCGGGGAUGGACAGAGCUGAGAAUUUAAGACUUGGCUUGACAAAUCACACUGUGAAUCUGUGCGACAGUAGGUCAAAAGUUCUGCUGUUGAAAUCGGCCUGUGCUUGCCGAAAUUUGAAUCACUGCCCCCAGUGGCCGAAGCUGGAAGUGUUGUUAAAUGCAUGAGCACGUGUGAGCUCCAGUUUGGGUGAAGUGUCCACAGAGUGGAACUAAAAGUGAGUUUUUUAAUUGUAAAUGAUGGAAUACAGUCAACAGGAAUGAAUAUUUUAUUAACUCUACCCCUUAGCCAAACCCUAAACCUAACUCUGAGUGGAGUAAAAGUGUCAUUUUAGAGGGAAAUGCAACAAAACCGUGUAAUAUGCUGUAUUUGCUAUCUGUUAAGGUAUACACUUUUAUAUUACUAAAACAAUUGUGAUAUUUACCUUAUUCAACCCCGCCCCUUUUCCACACUCCGCUCUUCCGAAUUUUGUCAUCUAAUUUCCUGUUUGUAUUGAAGCUACUGAGAAGAGUCGAUCUACAUGGAUUACGUGUGGGAGCACAGAAAGUAUUUUUUCACCAAGAGUUGAUGGUGUGAGUCUACUCCACCCCUUUAAUACGUGAAAAUGGUAGUGAGGUGUUUUUCUGUCACUGUAAAUGUUCGUUUUUUCACUCACAGAGGUAAAUUGGACCUGAUAGAUCACAUUCAGACAGCUAUGACACACUGCACUUAUUCUUGAUGCAAGCGUUUAAUUGUUAUACAUGUAAUUCUGCUUAAUUUUUAUGUUUCAGCUUGUUAAUAAUUUGUGUUAAAAUGUGUAGUUGACAGCUCGUACUGUUACACAUGCAAGUUCAUAACAUUAAAGCAAAUUUCAAUUUUACUUUUUAAAAUGAAUUUGUCACCCUACAUUUUUUAGAGGCUUAAAUGUGAUUUAAAAAUGGUUGUUAUCAGAAUAUAAAAUAAAACAUACACCUUCACAUGUA